Molecule: long non-coding RNA, 1106 nt
Organism: Daphnia pulicaria
Lineage: Eukaryota; Metazoa; Arthropoda; Branchiopoda; Diplostraca; Daphniidae
Exons: 5
Source: RefSeq, a predicted model, not a curated record
AAUUUUCCUGUUUUACUGCCCAAAAUCAACCAAUUAUUUACAUAAAAUGUAUACCUGCCGUCUAGCCAUCAGAUUAAAUUUGGACUCCAUUUAAAAAACCAAUUGCUCAACCCUUCUGUGACUCACACGCUCAGCUUCAUCUGCAUCAUCCUCUCACAUCUUAGACAAAACUGCAAGCUGUUAUGCCCAAAAGUUGUGGCAUUGCAUAUACAGUUACAGGUUCCUUCUUGCCUGAAAGAUGUUUACACCUUUAAACACUUUUGGUGGGGUUGUUGCGUCAUGAAAUUGUAUUGACUGCCAUUCCCUGCAUCUCCCACUUCAUAGCUACAAAAAACAAGCCUACAAAAUUUUGAGAUAAAGAUGUGCUUCUAUGUUCUUGAUUUAUCAUGAAUUCAUAGGUUGUGUGGUAUGCCAUUGGAUCAAUUGGAUUUCGCGAGUCAGCCGCCGAUGUCAAUCUACAACGCAGUUUCUUUAUUGGAAUUGUGUGGUCCUGGCACAGAGAUCCUUGAUGCUGGCCUUUGUCCAUUACAGAAGAGUGACUUCUACCAACUCUCUGCUCCAUCCUUAUCUUCGCUACCCACACUCAUCUAGCUUCUUUGCUUAUUAUGCUGCUAAACAAUUUAUCGUACUUCACUACCGAGUUAGACCAGUCGCUUCAGUCCGCCUGUCACUCUCCACCGAAUUAUGCCCAGGUAAUGCAGAUGAGAUAUCAAGAAGAUGGAAUUCCGAGACUCGUCAUCAACGUGGAUCAUCGCGACCGGCACCAAGAUUCGUCAUCAACGCUGAUCAUCGUAUUGUUGGUAUUGUUUCGUUAUGUGUUAGUUAAGCCGUUGGCUGCCACGCCUUUGUUCUCCCCUAGCUCCUUAGCACGGGCCUCCUAGAGGCCUCCUAAAGCCGUGCAUUCCAUCCUCCCUUGUCACCGUGUCAGCCCGGACUUGUCAGCAAUGGCAAGUCCCACCUUGGUCAUGGAUCCUUCAGACAUGGCGCGUAGAGAGUAGAAAACAACCGGGUUGUACGGUGUGGCAGCUAACGGGUUAGCUAAUUGUGUGUGUGUAUAUGUGUAUGUAUUUAUAUUAUGUUUGUAAAAAGUGGAGGAAUUGUGGGUG